GGCCUCCCUCUCAGGCUUGCUGUAAAUGCAUCAGCUGCCACAAACAUUAAAAUUAAAGGGAACAUCGAUGUUAAGCAACGGACAGACUUUAUCAUCACCGGUUUCAUCAAGCCAAGUGCUCACAUUCAUGUGUCUGUCCACAUGGGAGUUGACGGGGCAAUUGGUAAGGCUGGUCUGGAGUGGGUGGCAGGAAUGAGAACAUUGACGAGCCUUGAUGGUGGAAUCCAGCUAAAAAAAGGACAAGACUUGAAAAUCUUCCUAAACACACCACAGGAGACUAUGGAGAUCAUUGAUAUCAGCUCAAGACUUUACAUAACAAAUCCAAAUCGCAAAGAGGAAAUGAUUGGAUCCUUUGAUCGAAGGGAAGCGAGAACCUGCAGUGAAGAUGAAA
Molecule: long non-coding RNA, 391 nt
Organism: Rhincodon typus (whale shark)
Lineage: Eukaryota; Metazoa; Chordata; Chondrichthyes; Orectolobiformes; Rhincodontidae
Exons: 3
Source: RefSeq, a predicted model, not a curated record